This 492-nucleotide ribosomal RNA is filed under the name uncultured bacterium. RNAcentral describes it as "partial 16S ribosomal RNA". It matches the Rfam family "Bacterial small subunit ribosomal RNA", at positions 29 to 507 of the family's 1533-position model. The record is from RNAcentral.
AGUGGACGCUGGCGGUAGGCCUAACACAUGCAAGUCGAACGGCAGCACAGUAAGAGCUUGCUCUUACGGGUGGCGAGUGGCGGACGGGUGAGGAAUACAUCGGAAUCUACUUUUUCGUGGGGGAUAACGUAGGGAAACUUACGCUAAUACCGCAUACGACCUACGGGUGAAAGCAGGGGAUCUUCGGACCUUUCGCGAUUGAAUGAGCCGAUGUCGGAUUAGCUAGUUGGCGGGGUAAAGGCCCACCAAGGCGACGAUCCGUAGCUGGUCUGAGAGGAUGAUCAGCCACACUGGAACUGAGACACGGUCCAGACUCCUACGGGAGGCAGCAGUAGGGAAUAUUGGACAAUGGGCGCAAGCCUGAUCCAGCAAUACCGCGUGGGUGAAGAAGGCCUUCGGGUUGUAAAACCCUUUUGUUGGGAAAGAAAAGCAGCAGGUUAAUACCCCGCUGUUCUGACGGUACCCAAAGAAUAAGCACCGGCUAACUUCGUG